AUUCCCUAGUAACGGCGAGUGAAGCGGGAAGAGCUCAAGCUUAAAAUCUCCGUGCAAGUUUUGCGCGGCGAAUUGUAGUCUAUAGAGGCGUGGUCAGCGUGGGCGCUUGGGGCAAGUUCCUUGGAAGAGGACAGCAUGGAGGGUGAUACUCCCGUUCAUCCCUGAGUGGCUCGUGCGUACGACCCGUGUUCUUUGAGUCGCGUUGUUUGGGAAUGCAGCGCAAAGUAGGUGGUAAAUUCCAUCUAAAGCUAAAUAUUGGUGCGAGACCGAUAGCGAACAAGUACCGUGAGGGAAAGAUGAAAAGAACUUUGAAAAGAGAGUUAAAGAGUACCUGAAACUGCUGAAAGGGAACCGAAUCGUUUCCAGUGUCUAUAAUCCGUGGCAUAUUUCAUUGGCGAGUGUGCGCGUGCGUGUGCUGUGGCAGUGGCUUUUUUGGCUGCGCUCGGUGUGUGUGCUGUGUGUGCUUGCUGGUGCCCUGUGCUGCGGUGGGACGUCAAGGUCAGUUCGUAUGCUGCGGGAAAUGGCUGCCGAGGAGGUAGGGCUUACGCUCCGCGUUUGUCUGUUAUAUCUUGGUGGACGAGUCGUCGCGGUUGGGACUGAGGUGCCUACAACGUGCUUUUGAGUGGGUUUGUGUCUCCGUGUGCGCCGUGUGCGGAUAGCUUGCUAUGCGUGUGUGGUUGUGUGUGGAUUGAUGCGGGCUUUAACUUGUCGCCGUUCGGGACGUUGACGAAAUGGAGCGAUCCGACCUUUUGA
Molecule: ribosomal RNA, 753 nt
Filed under: Phytophthora vignae
Lineage: Eukaryota; Oomycota; Peronosporomycetes; Peronosporales; Peronosporaceae
Description: partial 28S ribosomal RNA
Rfam family: Eukaryotic large subunit ribosomal RNA
Source: RNAcentral